GGCCAUCGACCCCUUUGUGGCCAUUUUGGCCUUCAAAUAUUUAUAACUAAGGCAUAGACAAAUAAAUUACUCUGUGAUGUACAGUAUUUAAAAUAUUGAAUAUUGGCAACACUGAUACCGUUGACAGCUUUGAUGUGUCAAACUUCACUUCGAUGCAACAAGUCAUUCUUUUUAGUUGAGCGUGAAAUUGUUAAGAUCUUAACAAAAAGGCUAAGGCGAGCGGAGAUGCAAUAAAAUGCCUUCACCAAAAUCAAAUAGUAACAAAAUAGAUGUCGCGAAAAGAAAAUUAUUUCAGUACUCACCGCAUAAAAUUACUUUAGCGUUGAACGCAAUUAAGAAUGGGAUGCCCGUUUCCACUGCUAGUAGAGAUUUUAAUGUACCUCGAACGACUUUGCGACAUAAAAUUUCUGGAAAAGCACCUGAAACUUCUGGACAUGUAGGACCCCAGGCUGUUCUUGGAAGUGAAAUAGAGAAUGAACUUGUCGUAUGGAUCAAAGAUUGCGCUCGUGCUGGGUUUCCUAUCAACAAUGAAGGUUUACUAGAUUCUGUAAAGAAAAUAGUAGUAAAAGGCCAAAUUAACACACCGUUUAUAAAUAAUAGACCUUCAAGAUCCUGGUUUGACGGAUUUAUGGCAAGGCAUCCUGAUUUGAGGCAAAAACAUGCCGAAUAUAUUAAUAAAGCUCGUGCCUUAAUUACUGAGGAAAAAUAACUAUCAAUUUAAUGUAACUAUAAUUAUUACGCAUAAUAAUCCAAAUUAAUUAAUCAAUUAUUUACAGAACUUACUGCCAUGUCGGCGAUCACUCUAAAGCGAUAACAUACUAACUCGCUUCGAUUGAUCGCCGAUAUGCAGUCCUUAUCCCUUCUUUCCCAAUCCCCUUUCCUCUCCUCUCCUUCCCACACCUUCCCUUGGCGCCUGCAGUCGUUAAGCCGGGAGGAACCCGUACACCGUUCGCAGGUUCCUCUCGGUGUUGACUGCAGGAUCGACCACCAAAAAAAAAAAAAACACACCUGCGUGCUCGGUCUCCAUACCGAAUGCACGUCCAUGCAUGGGGGGACAUUUGUCGCGGCCCUAGGCACACAAAAAGUGUGCCUACACCCCCAUAGUUGCAAGUUCACAUGGGGGGUCUGACAGGGACUCGUUGAACAUUUCACCUCCUUUUCCUCUCCGCCCAUCCUAAUACUUCUUCUUCCUUCCCCCACACUCCUCUCCCAAUUCUUCCCUCCCACUUUCCUCCUGGCCCCUGCAGUCAUUAAGCCGGGAGGAACCAGUAUACCGUUCGCAGGUUCCUCCCGGUGUUGACUGCAGGAUCAGCCGUUAUUAAAAAAAACCUAACCUAACCUGCUUCCUUUCCCAAUCUUCUUUCCUCUUCUCUCCUUCCCACACCUUCCCUUGGCCCCUGCAGUCUUUAAGCCGGGAGGAACCAGUACACCGUUCGCAGGUUCCUCUAGGUGUUGAAUGCAGGAUCAGCCGCUAAAAAAAAAAAAUCUUCCCACCUCAGUCGCAGCGCGCGCGAGUUAUCGAACGCACGCGCCCCGCGGACACUUUGCGACGCUCCGCACACGUAAAUCACUAGAAAAUCAAAAGUGUUGGGUCAAAGUUCGCACAUCAAGUUGUACUAUACGUCAAAAGAUGCGGAAAAAUACCCUCUUUAAAGUGCAGUUUAAAUCAAAUAAAUACUAACGAAAUAGUGCCAAAGUUAAAAAAAUUGUGAAUUAAAAGUAAUUGAGUUAUUACUUGUUACCAUUACUUGUAAAUUGAUCACUGGUUAGUGGUUGGGUGAAAAUCAAGAUCAUUAUGUAGUUGGAAUGGUAAGCGGGCAAUGAUUUACAGAUUGAUAGGCGGUUAUGAUUUUAUGUGUGUGUUAUUUUGUGUAGGGUUAGCCGAGGAUGUUAAGAAACGCCAAUAUUUUUGAGUAUUGGUAUUCGUCACAUUAUAAGGUGAUUAGGUCUGCAGCAAAUAAGUUUCUAUAUGCGCCGCCUACUAGUGUAGCAAGUGAACAGCUGUUUAAUAAAGCUGAACAGUUGUACAAUGAAAGGAGACACUCUUUGAAGGGUGAAAAUGCCGAGACCGAAAAACUCGUUUCGGUCGCCUUAGUAAAAAGUAAUUUGAAAAAAAAUGGACCGUGAUAACUCAGGAGGUGAGAGUAGUAUAGAUGCAAAGAAGAAAAAGUACUAUUGUUCUUUCAAUGACCUCUGGUUAAAAGAACAUACUUCGAUUUUUGUUUUGUUUAAUAAACAGUAGAUAACUGUGUUUCCUUAGAAUUUUAUUUCAUUUUGUUGUUUUUUCGAAUAAAUAUGUGAUUUAA
Long non-coding RNA from Manduca sexta (tobacco hornworm), 2306 nucleotides. RefSeq lists it as uncharacterized. Lineage: Eukaryota; Metazoa; Arthropoda; Insecta; Lepidoptera; Sphingidae. The record is from RefSeq and is a predicted model, not a curated record. The transcript is spliced from 2 exons.